UACGUAGGGACCGAGCGUUGUCCGGAAUCAUUGGCGUAAAGAGCGUGUAGGCGGCUAUUUAAGUCCUGCGUGAAAUCCUGCGGCUCAACCGCAGACGGUCGUGGGAAACUGGAUGGCUAGAGUGCGGGAGAGGAGAGUGGAAUUCCCGGUGUAGCGGUGAAAUGCGUAGAUAUCUGGAGGAACACCGGUGGCGAAGGCGGCAUCCUGGACCAACACUGACGCUGAGGAGCGAAAGCCAGGGGAGCAAACGGG
Molecule: ribosomal RNA, 252 nt
Filed under: uncultured bacterium
Lineage: Bacteria
Description: partial 16S ribosomal RNA
Rfam family: Bacterial small subunit ribosomal RNA
Source: RNAcentral